UACAGAGGGGCAAGGCGUUAUUCGGAAUUAUUGGGCGUAAAGGGCGCGUAGGCGGCUUGGCAAGUGGAAGGUGAAAUCCCUCGGCUUAACCGAGGAACUGCCCUCCAAACUGCUUCGCUUGAGACCGGGAGAGGUGAGUGGAAUUCCCAGUGUAGCGGUGAAAUGCGUAGAUAUUGGGAGGAACACCAGUGGCGAAGGCGGCUCACUGGACCGGUACUGACGCUGAUGCGCGAAAGCGUGGGGAGCAAACGGGG
This 254-nucleotide ribosomal RNA is filed under the name uncultured bacterium. RNAcentral's name for it is "partial 16S ribosomal RNA". It matches the Rfam family "Bacterial small subunit ribosomal RNA", at positions 524 to 777 of the family's 1533-position model. The record is from RNAcentral.